Solanum pennellii is the source of this 976-nucleotide long non-coding RNA. RefSeq lists it as uncharacterized. The record is from RefSeq and is a predicted model, not a curated record. NCBI's taxonomy places the organism in Eukaryota, Viridiplantae, Streptophyta, Magnoliopsida, Solanales, Solanaceae. The transcript is spliced from 2 exons.
AAAAAAUACGUUGAAUAUCACGGUAGUCUAGACAAAUAAAAAAUUGAAUGCUUGGAAAUGAUUUCCCAUCAAAUUGAGUUACUUUUCCAAUGUUCAAAAACUAUCAUUCAUCUUCUCCAACUUCAUAUCAUUAUUGUUCAUCAAAACAACCCUUUUUCAUGAAGAAGAUCGUCUCUUCCAUUCAUAUCAUUCUCUUCUUCAAUUUCUCUCCAAUCCACCCGUAUCAUCUUCCAUAAUUCUCCCAUUUGUCCAUCAAUCUUCGCAUGGAACUCGAUAAUGAGAGCAUAUUCCAUGGAAGUAGAGUCUUUGAAGCUCUUUGAACAGUUUCAAGAAAUUGGAUUAAAACCAUAUAAACUCUCUUUUCCUAUUGUGCUAAAGGUUUGUGGGCAUUGUUUGAUGAUUGGAGCGGGUGGGUCAUUGCAUUUGAUGUCUGUGAGGACAACUGUUUGAUGAAAUGCUUGAGAGGGGUAUAGUUUCUUGGAGUUCUUGAUGGUAGCUUAUAUUCAUUGGUAUGUAUAUUUGUUUGGCUCAAUUGUAAAAUACACAUCUGAAUUAUCAAUAUUAUGCCAAUUUCACAUCCCAACUAUCAAUUGUUCUAUGUAUUAAACAGUGUUUUGGGAGGCGAGAAGCGGAAAAAAGCGACGAGGGCUUGCUUCACAGAAGCGAGAAGCGUGAAGCGAAGCGCGCGCUUUUUAAAAAAAAAGCGACAUUUAGUAUAAAAACAAAAAAAUAUUAAAUAACUAAAUAGAGGUAAUAUAGUCUUAGAUUAAAAGAAAAUAGAUAGUCAAUAAUACUCAUAAGUAAUAACAUAUAAAGCAAAAAAUCAAAAACAUAAUUAAAUCACAAAUACUCAAACUCCUAUUCUUCAACAAGAUCCUCAAACUCUUCAAGUGCCAUAACCAAGGGUUAUAAUUGGUCAUCAUCUUCUUCAUCAUCAGAAGUGUCAAAAAAUAAAAAAAAGAGCUGCUAGCAUACA